CCUUCGGGUUGUAAACCUCUUUCCUCAGGGACGAAGCGAAAGUGACGGUACCUGCAGAAGAAGCACCGGCCAACUACGUGCCAGCAGCCGCGGUAAUACGUACGGUGCGAGCGUUGUCCGGAAUUACUGGGCGUAAAGAGCUCGUAGGUGGUUUGUCGCGUUGUUCGUGAAAACCGGGGGCUUAGCCCUCGGCGUGCGGGCGAUACGGGCAGACUAGAGUACUGCAGGGGAGACUGGAAUUCCUGGUGUAGCGGUGGAAUGCGCAGAUAUCAGGAGGAACACCGGUGGCGAAGGCGGGUCUCUGGGCAGUAACUGACGCUGAGGAGCGAAAGCGUGGGGAGCGAACAGGAUUAGAUACCCUGGUAGUCAAAUAAGAUACC
RNAcentral lists this ribosomal RNA (380 nucleotides) under uncultured bacterium. Its description in RNAcentral is "bacterial SSU rRNA". It matches the Rfam family "Bacterial small subunit ribosomal RNA", at positions 415 to 808 of the family's 1533-position model. The record is from RNAcentral.